GACGAACGCUGGCGGCGUGCUUAACACAUGCAAGUCGAACGGAAAGGCCCUGCUUUUGUGGGGUGCUCGAGUGGCGAACGGGUGAGUAACACGUGAGUAACCUGCCCUUGACUUUGGGAUAACUUCAGGAAACUGGGGCUAAUACCGGAUAGGAGCUCCUGCUGCAUGGUGGGGGUUGGAAAGUUUCGGCGGUUGGGGAUGGACUCGCGGCUUAUCAGCUUGUUGGUGGGGUAGUGGCUUACCAAGGCUUUGACGGGUAGCCGGCCUGAGAGGGGGACCAGCGACAUUGGGACUGAGAGACGGACCAGACUCGUACGGGAGGCAGCAGUGGGGAAUAUUGCACAAUGGGCGGAAGCGUGAUGCAGCAACGCCGCGUGCGGGAUGACGGCCUUCUGGGUGUAAACCGCUUUAGGCUGUGACGAAGCGUGAGUGACGGUAAUGGGUAAAGAAGCACCGGCUAACUACGUG
This 468-nucleotide ribosomal RNA is filed under the name uncultured bacterium. Its description in RNAcentral is "partial 16S ribosomal RNA". It matches the Rfam family "Bacterial small subunit ribosomal RNA", at positions 28 to 507 of the family's 1533-position model. The record is from RNAcentral.